Spea bombifrons (plains spadefoot toad) is the source of this 1010-nucleotide long non-coding RNA. RefSeq lists it as uncharacterized. Lineage: Eukaryota; Metazoa; Chordata; Amphibia; Anura; Pelobatidae. The record is from RefSeq and is a predicted model, not a curated record. The transcript has 2 exons.
UCUGUCAGUGGUUAAAGAUAUAAUAAAUUAGGUUAUUAGUUGAAAAAAUAUCUUCCAGAUUUCAUGGGAGGAGCCUAAAUGUGCCAAGAUGGAAAUUAACAUAAUCUGGAAUAAGCAAAGCAAAGGUAAAAAACCAAUAGGAAUGCAUUUCCUUUACAUAUUUGAUUGGUGGAAAGCAAUCUAAGGGUGGGGUUGGUUUAAACCAAUUACACUUUAAAACAUCCAGCCAAUCACUGCCAUCUCUUCUUUAGAAGGUAAGGAUAACCAAAUGCUCUACCAACCUUACUGGAUUAGUGGAUUUUGAGGUUUCAAACUAUGGGACAUCUCAGUCAUGACAGUGACUCUUUCAUCUGUUUUGUUUUUUUUGGAGUAUUUGCAUAUGUGUACUUCGAUAUACCUUUUAUAGUAAAUGUAAUAUAUAGAUAAAAUAGCUAUUUUUUAAAUUUGUAAUUUGCAGAACUGAUUCAAGGCUCAAUAUUUAACAUUAAAUAUAAUGUAGCUCUUUAUUAUUAUUAUUAUUAUUAUUUAUUGUUUUUGUCAUGUAUUAUAAAAUAGUCUUAGAAUAACCCCUGUAAUCCACCAAAGCUUUGGUUGGUACAAGGUGGCACUGAAGCUCUUCAAGGAAGGAGGAGACAUUACAAGACUCUGCAAAGGGAAGCACAAGAGGCUCCAUGGGACAGUAUGGCUGCCAAGUGAAUACUUGUACCACAGCUUGUGCUACCGCAAUUCAUUCAUCCGACUGCAAGCUUUUUUUGGGCAGGGCUGUCACCAGUGCCUAAUUUUUAAAUGUCUAUUUUUCAACUUGCUCUUGUACUGCAAUACCCAACGAGUUGUCAAAUAACAAUAACAACAAAUAGGGGAUUAAAUAAUGCAACAUUACUGGAGCACAUUUACUCUGAUUUACAAUUGAUUAUUACGUUUAAUCUAUUGGGAUUUGUCCAAUAGAUCAAGUGAGCUCAAUAUGAAAUAUGAGAUCAAUAUGACAUUUUUAAUAAAGACAACUUGUUUUA